This 496-nucleotide ribosomal RNA is filed under the name uncultured bacterium. Its description in RNAcentral is "partial 16S ribosomal RNA". It matches the Rfam family "Bacterial small subunit ribosomal RNA", at positions 29 to 507 of the family's 1533-position model. The record is from RNAcentral.
ACGCACGCUGGCGGCGUGCCUAAUACAUGCAAGUUGAGCGCUGAAGGUUGGUACUUGUACCGACUGGAUGAGCAGCGAACGGGUGAGUAACGCGUGGGGAAUCUGCCUUUGAGCGGGGGACAACAUUUGGAAACGAAUGCUAAUACCGCAUAAAAACUUUAAACACAAGUUUUAAGUUUGAAAGAUGCAAUUGCAUCACUCAAAGAUGAUCCCGCGUUGUAUUAGCUAGUUGGUGAGGUAAAGGCUCACCAAGGCGAUGAUACAUAGCCGACCUGAGAGGGUGAUCGGCCACAUUGGGACUGAGACACGGCCCAAACUCCUACGGGAGGCAGCAGUAGGGAAUCUUCGGCAAUGGACGAAAGUCUGACCGAGCAACGCCGCGUGAGUGAAGAAGGGUUUCGGAUCGUAAAACUCUGUUGGUAGAGAAGAACGUUGGUGAGAGUGGAAAGCUCAUCAAGUGACGGUAACUACCCAGAAAGGGACGGCUAACUACGUG